UCGGCAGGGCGCGCGGUCGCUGCCCCGCUUCGGCGGGGGAGAGGAAAGUCCGGGCACCAAAGGGCGCCGUAGCGGAUAACGUCCGUCGUUCACCGCCGAGAGCUGUUCGAGCAGGCAAACCCAUCGACCCCCACCUUAAACGCUGGGGGUUGAAGGGGGAGGGCGUAAGCCGCCCCCUGGGCUUUAGCCCGCUCGAAAUGCUUCGAGCGGGCGAAUAGGAACAGUGCAACAGAAAGCAAGUACGGUGGGGUUCUUCGGAAUUCCACGCAGUAGUGAAAUCCGGCAAACUCUACGGGGUGCAAGGCCAAAUAGGUCCCAGGGGCUCGCAAGAGCCGUCCGUCGGCCCGGCGGAUUCGCAAGGCCUGGGGCGGGUAGGCUGCUCCGAUCCCGAGCGCGAGCUCGGGGCUAGAGAAAUGACCGCAUAGACCAGAACCCGGCUUAGGGCCCUGCCCUUCAC
RNAcentral lists this RNase P RNA (457 nucleotides) under Deltaproteobacteria bacterium. Its description in RNAcentral is "RNase P RNA component class A". It matches the Rfam family "Bacterial RNase P class A". Rfam says of the family: Ribonuclease P (RNase P) is a ubiquitous endoribonuclease, found in archaea, bacteria and eukarya as well as chloroplasts and mitochondria. Its best characterised activity is the generation of mature 5'-ends of tRNAs by cleaving the 5'-leader elements of precursor-tRNAs. Cellular RNase Ps are ribonucleoproteins. Lineage: Bacteria; Pseudomonadati; Myxococcota; Myxococcia. The record is from RNAcentral.